AUUGAACGCUGGCGGCAUGCUUUACACAUGCAAGUCGAACGGCAGCGCGGGCUUCGGCCUGGCGGCGAGUGGCGAAUGGGGGAGUAAUGCAUCGGAACGUGCCCAGUAGUGGGGGAUAGCCCGGCGAAAGCCGGAUUAAUACCGCAUACGACCUGAGGGUGAAAGCGGGGGACCGAAAGGCCUCGCGCUAUUGGAGCGGCCGAUGUCGGAUUAGCUAGUUGGUGGGGUAAAGGCUUACCAAGGCGACGAUCCGUAGCUGGUCUGAGAGGACGACCAGCCACACUGGGACUGGGACACCGCCCAGACUCCUACGGGAGGCAGCGGUGGGGAACUUUGGACAGAGGGGGCAACCCUGAUCCAGCCAUGCCGCGUGCGGGAAGAAGGCCUUCGGGUUGUAAACCGCUUUUGUUCGGGAAGAAAUCCUCUGGGCUAAUACCCCGGGGGGAUGACGGUACCGGAAGAAUAAGCACCGGCUAACUACGUG
This 484-nucleotide ribosomal RNA is filed under the name uncultured bacterium. Its description in RNAcentral is "partial 16S ribosomal RNA". It matches the Rfam family "Bacterial small subunit ribosomal RNA", at positions 28 to 507 of the family's 1533-position model. The record is from RNAcentral.